GCCUUUGAUGACAAUGUUCAUAGCUGAAGUAAAAGGUUAACCUUGUGGUUAAUGUUGAAAACUUCAUGAACUAGGACGGUCUGAGGC
Dioscorea cayenensis subsp. rotundata (Guinea yam) is the source of this 87-nucleotide small nucleolar RNA. RefSeq annotates it as small nucleolar RNA snoR20a. The transcript has a single exon. The record is from RefSeq and is a predicted model, not a curated record. NCBI's taxonomy places the organism in Eukaryota, Viridiplantae, Streptophyta, Magnoliopsida, Dioscoreales, Dioscoreaceae.